RNAcentral lists this non-coding RNA (114 nucleotides) under Cellulomonas carbonis T26. RNAcentral describes it as "Cellulomonas sp. T26 SAM (S-adenosyl methionine) riboswitch aptamer". It matches the Rfam family "SAM (S-adenosyl methionine) riboswitch aptamer". From Rfam's summary of the family: SAM-IV is a mRNA element that regulates gene expression via direct sensing of S-adenosylmethionine (SAM or AdoMet). SAM-IV riboswitches share conserved nucleotide positions with the previously described SAM-I riboswitches sequence analysis and molecular recognition experiments suggest that SAM-I and SAM-IV riboswitches share similar ligand binding sites, but have different scaffolds. Lineage: Bacteria; Bacillati; Actinomycetota; Actinomycetes; Micrococcales; Cellulomonadaceae. RNAcentral also lists the same sequence under 1 other name. The record is from Rfam by way of RNAcentral.
GGUCACGAGGUCCAGCGUCACGCCCUCCGGCGUGCUGGCCGGCAACCGCGCAGACGCGCACGGUGCCCCCGGAGGAAGACCCGCCCGCACCACCCGGUGCGGGAAGUGCGCACC